Molecule: antisense RNA, 72 nt
Filed under: Allokutzneria albata
Lineage: Bacteria; Bacillati; Actinomycetota; Actinomycetes; Pseudonocardiales; Pseudonocardiaceae
Description: Kibdelosporangium albatum ASpks TB sRNA
Rfam family: ASpks TB sRNA
Source: Rfam by way of RNAcentral
CUUCAGCGAGCCCAGGUACAGCGGCCGCCCGGCGCGCUCCCGGCCGUAGGUCGCCAGCAGCGCCUGGGCUUC